UACGUAGGUGGCAAGCGUUAUCCGGAUUUACUGGGUGUAAAGGGCGUGUAGGCGGGACUGCAAGUCAGAUGUGAAAAUUAUGGGCUCAACCCAUAACCUGCAUUUGAAACUGUAGUUCUUGAGUGAUGGAGAGGCAGGCGGAAUUCCGUGUGUAGCGGUGAAAUGCGUAGAUAUACGGGGGAACACCAGUGGCGAAGGCGGCCUGCUGGACAUUAACUGACGCUGAGGCGCGAAAGCGUGGGGAGCAAACAGG
Molecule: ribosomal RNA, 253 nt
Filed under: uncultured bacterium
Lineage: Bacteria
Description: partial 16S ribosomal RNA
Rfam family: Bacterial small subunit ribosomal RNA
Source: RNAcentral